Molecule: unclassified non-coding RNA, 392 nt
Filed under: soil metagenome
Description: partial contains 5.8S ribosomal RNA, internal transcribed spacer 2, and large subunit ribosomal RNA
Rfam family: 5.8S ribosomal RNA (bases 1-122)
Source: RNAcentral
GAUGAAGAACGUAGCGAAAUGCGAUACUUGGUGUGAAUUGCAGAAUCCCGUGAACCAUCGAGUCUUUGAACGCAAGUUGUGCCCGAAGCCACUAGGCCGAGGGCACGCCUGCCUGGGUGUCACACGUCGUUGCCCCCCCCCAUCUACUCCUUCGGGAUUGCGGGGGGCGGAUGAUGGCCUCCCGUGCGCCUAGCCGCGCGGUUGGCAUAAAUACCAAGUCCUCGGCGACGCACGCCACGACAAUCGGUGGUUGCGAAACCUCGGUUGCCCGUCGUGUGCGUUCGUCGCGCAUCGAGGGCUCGAAAAAAUGCUCGGCUCCGGCUCGGCUUUCAACGCGACCCCAGGUCAGGCGGGGUUACCCGCUGAAUUUAAGCAUAUAAAUAAGCGGAGGA